CAAAAUGUUAGCAAGCCUGAAGAAACAUGGUUCUGUGAUUUUUGUUUCAUCACCUUCGCUGAUCAGUUUAUUAUUUCUUUAAAUCAGCUAUUAAAAGGAGGACAAUUGGAGUUUUUAUAUACAAUCUUAAUAUAAGUUUUAACACAACGUAACAAAGUCAUCAUCAGUAUUGAUACUGAUUUAUGCUCAAUUAUUUGCUUUACCAACACAGUUCAUAUGGUAAUGGAUAUAAGCUCAGGGCUUUGGAAUCAAUUGAUCAAAGUCCUAUUUUGAACAAUCACCAAUUUCAUUUGCCAUUUCUUAAAAAACUCACCUUAAUUUUAGAACUAUAAAAUUCUGAAAGCUAUGUCUUUGAUUGAGGGCUUUAGUCACACAAAUCAAUGAAUAAAUUGUCAACAUUCUCCCUGCUAGUGUUCAUUUUUGUUUAUCAUAUUUGCAAGACAUCAUGUUAUAUCUUGUUAUCUCCUGGUUCUGGAGUUCUGCUGUCAUGUUGGUGUGGUUUUUACAUGACUUUCUGCAUAUGCAUCUGCCCUUUCAAAUUCUAUAUAUACAUACAUAAGCAUGCAUGCAACAGUUGCAAAUACAUCAUUG
This 591-nucleotide unclassified non-coding RNA is filed under the name Hevea brasiliensis (rubber tree). Lineage: Eukaryota; Viridiplantae; Streptophyta; Magnoliopsida; Malpighiales; Euphorbiaceae. The record is from RNAcentral.